GCGCAGGUGGCAGAGCGGCCAAUUGCAUCAGACUGUAAAUCUGACGCCCUUUGGGCUACGGGGGUUCGAAUCCCUCCCUGCGCA
Molecule: transfer RNA, 84 nt
Filed under: bacterium
Lineage: Bacteria
Description: tRNA-Tyr
Rfam family: tRNA
About the family: Transfer RNA (tRNA) molecules are approximately 80 nucleotides in length.
Source: RNAcentral